Molecule: long non-coding RNA, 1240 nt
Filed under: Malus domestica (apple)
Lineage: Eukaryota; Viridiplantae; Streptophyta; Magnoliopsida; Rosales; Rosaceae
Description: long non-coding RNA (MDOM_LNC018308)
Source: RNAcentral
CAUUGACUUAAGUUGUAUGACAACUUAAUGAAUAAUGAUUCACAAAGGCCCAAAUAGCCAAAUAAUACCCUAAGGCCGGCCAUUUAGAGGAAGGGUAGUGAACUUGCUUUAAUUACAAGUUUGCCACUCCAAUGAAUAAAGGUAUAAAUAUGACUUUAUAGCCAAAAUUCAUUUAGGGUUUUUUUGAGGAAAUUGGAGAGAACACAAAGCUCUCCUUUCUCUCUAAAGAGGCCGGCCACCCUUGGAGGGAUUAGCUAGUAAUCUUUCUCCUCCAAGAUCACUCAUCUCUUCUUCACAUCUUACCUUGGUGUGGAGACUUAGAGGUUCUCAAUUUUGGGAACUUGGAGAAACCUAUUCUUCCAUCCAAAUCCAUGGAUCUAAGAAGCAAGGAAUGAAGGCCCUAUCUCUUGGGUGAUUAUCCUUUGCUUUUGCAAAGAGGAAUCUACAAAGGUAUAAAUUUCUCAACUCACUUUCUUUUAAGUUGAGUCUUGGUUCACCUAACUACUAGGCUUUGAAUUUAAUGGGUAAUGUUUUGUUUUUGAGUGCAUGCAAGCAUGAUUCCGCCUUUAAUUUGUUAAUUACAUGCUAUAGAUGUUGCUCAAAUGAACAUGUUUUUAACAAAAUUUCCUUCAAGUGGUAUCAGAGCCUAGGUCUAGUAGUUGGUGAAUCCUUUUGGGUUUUGUAGUUCAUAGUCUUUGAUUUGAAUGUUGUAAUUGUUACAAGCUUUAUUCUUGCUUCUUUGAAUGUAAAUUUUGUUAGAAAAUUUGCCAUCUCAAAUGUUGUAGAUGUAGUUCAUAUGAGCAUGAAUAUUGGAGCUAAAAUUUUGCGCCAUGUUUUUGGGAAAAUUCGGCCAAAUCCAAAGGGUGGAUUUUUGGGUUCAUGUUUGACUUGUUAAAAGUGUUUUCAAGUAACUUUUGGAACCCCUAUGUACCUUAGUUUGGUUAUAUGUUAUUUCCCUUAAGUUUGAGUGGUUUUGGGAUGUCUUUGGGUGAAAAAUGUUCAUGGAGAUUUUUGAGUUUUUCAUGAAUGUUCUUCAUUGUUCUUGAUAUUUUAGCCAAGAACAAAAAGUUUGGUGUUUUGAUUUAUUUCAUAAAGUUUUUGUUUUGUGCUUUUCAAAUGUUUAAAUGUGUUAGAUAUUUAUUUUGAAAGGUGAAAGAAAUAUUGAUGGGUGUGUAAGGAUUAAUUCCCUUUCACACACACCACUUGCAUGACUUUUGUGUCAUGCACCUCUUGCAUGACU